This 964-nucleotide long non-coding RNA is filed under the name Chinchilla lanigera (long-tailed chinchilla). RNAcentral describes it as "lncRNA (ENSCLAG00000028054.1)". The record is from RNAcentral. Lineage: Eukaryota; Metazoa; Chordata; Mammalia; Rodentia; Chinchillidae.
CCGGCUCGCAGCGCGGGCGGAGGGCCGCAGCAGACGCGGUCUGCAUCCCACUCGGCCGCCUCGGGCCCGGCUGCCCCCUGGCGGCGGCGCUCGGCACUGCCGCGGCGGCACCCUGCGGUCCCUCCCCAGGAGCCGCCCCUACCCCGCGUUUCCUAGCAACGCCCCUAAACGCCUCCUCCCUGCUCCCGGGCGACGCGCCCAAUGCAAACUUUAGCUUCUCCCGGCCUGGCGCCCGCUGGAGGGCCGGAAGCGGGAGAGCGCCUUCCUGAAAAGUGUUUCUCGCUGCUCCUCCAGGAAAAGGAUCACGAGGUGGGGGUGGGGAAGGAAAUGGUUUAAGUUAAUUUAAACUGUGUCUGCCGCGGGCAACAAUCCAAGAAAGGUUUCUUUUUCUUUUUUUUUUUUUUCCUUGAGUCACGUUGGAAGAAUUCAGAGAAGCUCUUUGCUGCAGCCCGGUGGCCGCUGAUAGAACCUGGACAACGGAGCAGAGAUGUGGCUUAGAGGGUCCCCAGGGUGCACGGAGCCAGGCCUGGCCGAGGGUGGAGUCGCGGCGGAGACCCACGCAUGGCACCCUCUUUGCCAGGCGCUUUUCAUAGGUAUUCACAGUGAUGCAAAACUGAGUAGCACAGGUCCUCCAGAGGUUUGUUCCAAGUUUACUCGUGUCCAAUCUGCAGCCUGGAGCUGCCACCCCACCCUCCCACCUGAAACUGCCCUGUGGACUCCAGAACAGCCCUCACACAGAGCUGCUGGGAAGUGUUGGGAGCCAGGCUCACACGGGGUCCCAGGCUGCAGGCCCUGCACUGUCCCUGAUGACCCUGGCUGUGUGCAGGGCCCAGGGGUCCGGGGGACUCAGAGGCCAAGCCCACAUGGCCUUCCCGCCUGGAGCCCAGCAGCGGCUCAGAAAAGGUACUUACUGAGGGUCUCCCUGAAGGCACUUGAACUUGAUACUCCUUUUACUAAGCCCUAG